Molecule: long non-coding RNA, 1291 nt
Filed under: Numida meleagris (helmeted guineafowl)
Lineage: Eukaryota; Metazoa; Chordata; Aves; Galliformes; Numididae
Description: lncRNA (ENSNMEG00000005802.1)
Source: RNAcentral
AUGGAACAGAACAUCUUUCUGUUGUUCCUCUGGUUUCCACAGGGUGAUGUUGGACUACCUGGGCCACCUGGGUCACCGCUGUUAGUUGGACCUCCUGGAGCUCAGCUGUUCAAAGGAGAAAAGGGCCAAAAAGGACUACCUGGGAUAACAGGAUACAGAGGACCACAUGGACCCAAAGUAAGUAAAGCAAUUUUUUUUUCCGUGGUGCUUCUGUUGUUAUUAAGUUAAUCUUUCAAAGCACAAGAUGAUGGAAGAAAUAACAGCACUUGUGCAUUGGAACUUAAUUAGCACCUAUAUAAAUAUGAAAGCAAAAAUAUUUCAAAACCCUUUGGAAAACCUUUCCAAGUCUGUUUUAUACCUACCUGUUGAAUGCUGCCUGGUUGUGAAAGGUCAGUGUUGUUUCCAGUUGGAUUGUUGACACAAAUGACUCAGACUGUAAAGAAAGCAGAAGUGCAGAUUAUUUUUUCUCAAGGAGAGAAAUAGAGAAGAUCUGUUUAUGUUCUUAAUGGAGCAAAUGUAUGUUUCCCUAAUUAUGCGAGGGAAAGACUUUUAACUUCACAUUCUGAGUAUCCUCAAAAGUAGAGAUGGACGAGCAACCUGUUUGGAGAGUGUUGCUGUCAGUAUAAUGCAUUUAAACAUUAGCAUGCCAGUAAGAAGUUCCUCAGUGCUGAGCAGAAGCAGCCACAGAAUAGAUUGUGAUGUGUUUAUUGCUGAUAGAUUUGAAGGGGAAAAAUCCACAGACAGAAAACUACCAGAUCUCAGGGAAAAAAAAUAACAGAAGAUAACUGGGGAGAAAGGAAAGGAGCUAGUUUGUAUUAAACAUUUAUUUAGUUUUGUAGGCAGAAGACGCCUAAACAUCACAUUUCUGCAUUCAGAGUCUAGCACCUUUUCAGGAAGUCAUUUUCCAUCAUGAUAGCACUACUGAUACUUAGCACUGGGAAAGGAGACAAAAUCCUUUUGUAUAAGAGUUAUUUUGAAAAAGGUGGAGCUUAUAUGGUAGUUCUAGUAUUAGCUGUACCUGUAGAUAAUUGUACACUCAUUAUUUAUAAGCAGGAACUAAGGAAUUGCCUCUUGGGGCCUUAAAGGUGCCCAGAACUUAAAAAAGCCAAACUUCUGAAAGCAUGUUAAGCUUGGUGAAGAGAUCAUAACAGCUUUCUUGAAUAACUGAAGAUACGGAGGCACUACUAGUAGUGCUUGAUGAAGUAAGCCCCGCUGUUGGACCCUAGCAAGCAAAACAAGAUCUGUUAUAUACAAACUUAAUAAACAUGCACAUAGAAUAAAAUUUUUUGCA